GCGGAGCGUCGUUUGCGACGCCCAACACACAAAACAAGCGGUGAGUGCUUUGGGGUGGGGUGACUGCGUACCUUUUGUAUAAUGGGUCAGCGACUUAUAUUCUGUAGCAAGGUUAACCGUAUAGGGGAGCCGAAGGGAAACCGAGUCUUAACUGGGCGUUAAGUUGCAGGGUAUAGACCCGAAACCCGGUGAUCUAGCCAUGGGCAGGUUGAAGGUUGGGUAACACUAACUGGAGGACCGAACCGACUAAUGUUGAAAAAUUAGCGGAUGACUUGUGGCUGGGGGUGAAAGGCCAAUCAAACCGGGAGAUAGCUGGUUCUCCCCGAAAGCUAUUUAGGUAGCGCCUCGUGAACUCAUCUUCGGGGGUAGAGCACUGUUUCGGCUAGGGGGUCAUCCCGACUUACCAACCCGAUGCAAACUGCGAAUACCGAAGAAUGUUAUCACGGGAGACACACGGCGGGUGCUAACGUCCGUCGUGAAGAGGGAAACAACCCAGACCGCCAGCUAAGGUCCCAAAGUCACAGUUAAGUGGGAAACGAUGUGGGAAGGCUCAGACAGCCAGGAUGUUGGCUUAGAAGCAGCCAUCAUUUAAAGAAAGCGUAAUAGCUCACUGGUCGAGUCGGCCUGCGCGGAAGAUGUAACGGGGCUAAACUGUGCACCGAAGCUGCGGCAGCGACGCUUAUGCGUUGUUGGGUAGGGGAGCGUUCUGUAAGCCUGCGAAGGUGUCCUGUGAGGGAUGCUGGAGGUAUCAGAAGUGCGAAUGCUGACAUAAGUAACGAUAA
This 782-nucleotide ribosomal RNA is filed under the name Salmonella enterica subsp. enterica serovar Kentucky. RNAcentral's name for it is "partial 23S ribosomal RNA". It matches the Rfam family "Bacterial large subunit ribosomal RNA", at positions 566 to 1315 of the family's 2925-position model. The record is from RNAcentral. Lineage: Bacteria; Pseudomonadati; Pseudomonadota; Gammaproteobacteria; Enterobacterales; Enterobacteriaceae.